UUCGUUACAGAAGUAAUUAAAAUCGAAGGCAGUCAUGGAGAUUCAUUUUGCAGGGCUCAAGCAAACUUUUCAGAGAGCGUAUAGAAUUUUAAAUCAGAUUGGCGUGAGUGGAAAGGAAAACAAGUAAGAAAAAAUAAAAGCAGCAAAACCAUGAACGAAACUAAUACAAUGAAAAGCUAUUAGGUUAAAUGGGCAGCAAAGAGGCCAGGGAAGAUAUACAUAUAUUAAGAUGGAGAUGGAGAUGGAGGUGAAGAAAAUGCCUUGCAAAAGGAAGCUCGUUUGGGCCAAGCAAAUGACUGCCAAUAAUUUUCCAUCCUAUCUAUGGGCAAAUUGAGCAAAAUGUGGGCCUACCUCAAAACAGGCCGACUUUUAAAGGAAAACGUUGAGAAAAGGAAAACGAAUAUUUACAUACAUACAUAUAUAGACAAGACAAAUGACCACAGCGUAGCCUAGCAUAAAGUACUUACGACUCACAUUACCCACAGAAUAAUGCUUCAAUGGAAUUCACUUGAUUAUUUUCAAGGUUUUCAAGGACUUUAAGUUUAACAUAAAGUAUCGUAAAUUAAAUUUUAUGUUGGUUUAG
Molecule: long non-coding RNA, 583 nt
Organism: Drosophila sulfurigaster albostrigata
Lineage: Eukaryota; Metazoa; Arthropoda; Insecta; Diptera; Drosophilidae
Exons: 2
Source: RefSeq, a predicted model, not a curated record